GGCUUCGUGGUGUAGUGGUCAGCACGCUCGACGCGUAACCGAGAGGUCCGUGGUUCGAUUCCCGGCGAAGGCA
This 73-nucleotide transfer RNA is filed under the name Stegodyphus mimosarum. It matches the Rfam family "tRNA". Rfam says of the family: Transfer RNA (tRNA) molecules are approximately 80 nucleotides in length. Their secondary structure includes four short double-helical elements and three loops (D, anti-codon, and T loops). The record is from Rfam by way of RNAcentral. Lineage: Eukaryota; Metazoa; Arthropoda; Arachnida; Araneae; Eresidae.